Molecule: ribosomal RNA, 360 nt
Filed under: Triticum aestivum (bread wheat)
Lineage: Eukaryota; Viridiplantae; Streptophyta; Magnoliopsida; Poales; Poaceae
Description: partial small subunit ribosomal RNA
Source: RNAcentral
GAAAAACUCCUAUCUUCAAGAGGAAAGGAAGUUCUUAUAAAAUCUGUGGCUCAGGCGGUACCUGUCUAUUCAAUGUCUUGUUUCAAGCUACCACAUGGAUUAUGUGAGCAUAUAAACACACUAAUACGUAAGUUUUGGUGGGGGAGCAAAGAAGGACAGAGGAAGCCGAGUUGGGUCUCGUGGAGUACUAUGACAAGGCUGAAACAUUGUGGAGGUUUGGGGUUUCGUGACAUAGAACUUUUUAACCUUGCACUUCUCGCAAGACAGACAUGGAGGGUAACGAUGGAUCCGGAUUCACUAAGUGGUCGUGUGUUGAAGGCAAAAUACCAUGUGAAUGCAGAUUUUCUCCAAGCUGAUCUG